UACAGAGGGUGCGAGCGUUGUCCGGAAUCACUGGGCGUAAAGGGCGCGUAGGCGGUUUUGUAAGUCGGGGGUGAAAUGCUGCGGCUCAACCGCAGCGCUGCCUUCGAGACUGCAAGACUGGAGCACGGUAGAGGCGGAUGGAAUUCCCGGUGUAGCGGUGGAAUGCGUAGAGAUCGGGAAGAACACCAAUGGCGAAGGCAGUCCGCUGGGCCGUUGCUGACGCUGAGGCGCGACAGCGUGGGGAGCAAACAGG
RNAcentral lists this ribosomal RNA (253 nucleotides) under uncultured bacterium. RNAcentral describes it as "partial 16S ribosomal RNA". It matches the Rfam family "Bacterial small subunit ribosomal RNA", at positions 524 to 776 of the family's 1533-position model. The record is from RNAcentral.